RNAcentral lists this long non-coding RNA (396 nucleotides) under Vitis vinifera (wine grape). Its description in RNAcentral is "long non-coding RNA (VVIN_LNC000513)". The record is from RNAcentral. Lineage: Eukaryota; Viridiplantae; Streptophyta; Magnoliopsida; Vitales; Vitaceae.
CUCAAGAAUUCCUUCAACACUGUCGAGCUUGUCAGGAAGUGGGAAGGAUUGCAACAACUUCAGACCCUUGCACAUAAUGAACACCUACAAUUCUUUCGAACUGAGAUGACUCCCCAGAAGUUGCAUAAUUCGUAGUCUCAAUUGUAGCAGGAACAGAAAGUUCUACCUUCAGAUACGGAAUUGGACCUCAAAGAUUGAAAUAAGUGGUGGUGUCCAAGUUUGACUUAGAAAAUGAAGCAAAGGAGUUAGAGAACUAUAAAAUAAAACUGCAGUUGGGAAAAUCCUGAAUUGGCAGAGAGGUUAGAAUCCACUCAACCCUUGCAAGAUAUGUUCUGGGAUAUACAGAAAUAGAAGAAAUAAAGAAAUUGAACCACAACCUCAGACACAAAAAAAAAA